Molecule: ribosomal RNA, 466 nt
Filed under: uncultured bacterium
Lineage: Bacteria
Description: partial 16S ribosomal RNA
Rfam family: Bacterial small subunit ribosomal RNA
Source: RNAcentral
GACGAACGCUGGCGGUGUGCUUAACACAUGCAAGUCGAACGGUAAGGCCCUUUCGGGGGUACACGAGUGGCGAACGGGUGAGUAACACGUGAGUAACCUGCCCUCAUCUCUGGGAUAGCAGUCGGAAACGGUUGCUAAUACUGGAUAUGAGCUUGCAAGGCAUCUUGUGGGUUGGAAAGAUUUUUUUGGUUGGGGAUGGACUCGCGGCCUAUCAGCUUGUUGGUGAGGUAGUGGCUCACCAAGGCUUCGACGGGUAGCCGGCCUGAGAGGGCGACAGGCGACAUUGGGACUGAGGUACGGCCCAAGCUCCUACGGGAGGCAGCAGUGGGGAAUAUUGCACAAUGGACGGAAGUCUGAUGCAGCAACGCCGCGUGCGGGAUGACGGCCUUCGGGUUGUAAACCGCUUUCAAUUGUGACGAAGCUUUUUGUGACGGUAGCAGUAGAAGAAGCACCGGCUAACUACGUG